CAGCACCAAAACCACUGUGGUAAUAGCCAUUGUGUGCAGCAUUGUUCUAAUCGCUCUUCUUGUUGUCGUAGGAUGGAUUUAUACAUCAAGGCGCAAUAAAGUAAAAGAAGAAAAUGUAGCUGGGGCUCGGACAUCUGAUCAUAGAAGUCCAGAUACUCUGACAGAAGAACCAUUAUAUGCAAAUGUGAAUAAUGAAAAGAACACGACUGCAAAUAAUGAUCCAGAACUGGACAACUCCUCUAUUACUUAUGCUUUGCUGAAUCUUACAGCCGAGAACAAUGGUAUCAGAGUGCAUAUUCCUAAUCAGUUUGCCGAAUAUGCUACUGUUGUUACUAAUGCAAAGAACCCAAAAUGAUGACAUUUCUCUGCUCUUUUUAUAUUGUAUGAACUGCACUAUUCUGAAAGGAAUCAGGAUAUGUGCCUAAAUGCUUUGAUAGUUUACAGAAGCUUUGUGUACUGUCAGCUUUUACUGAAACUUGACAGUCAGUUGCAGCCCAGAGAUUCCAUGCUACAUUUCUGCAUACUGCAAAUUACAAAAAUGCCAUACGUGCAGCACCAAUGCAGUUACCACAUCAGAAAUCACGAAUAAAUGUUCGAUCAUAAUCAUUAGUAUUUGCAGGUCUAAAACAUAUUAAAAUACUGAAUAUUAUUUUUAUUUCAAUGGUGUGCCAUAUAAGUCAAGAAUUCAUUGUUGACCAUAACAAUUUAUGUAACAGUGGACACUAUUUAAAAGAGACAUGCACUGAAACUCAUCUGAGGCAUAUCAUUUUGAUGACUUGAAUAUGGCAUGAAAGUGUGGAAGAAUUAAAAUACAAAGUAGAACAAAAACAAGGUGAUAUGCUUUAACCCCACUCAGGUUACUUAAGCAAUACACUUCACUUGCACAUGUACAAGCACAAACAAAAAAGGAGAAGGGCAGGCUUCAUUUUAUUCCUUACAACAAGCCAAACAUUUAAGCACACAUUGCAGAGUAUACUUUAAAAACACUGAGUGUUUGUGUACCAGUUUAUUUCACUAGCUUGUAGCAUGAUUCUGCAAUUUGUAAUGCAACAGAUGUCUGGGGCGGCACCAUGUAAUCUCAUACACUCUGCUCCAAUAUGACUCGGUUCUGCAAUCAACUCUAAUGGUACAGGGGUUCAAAUCUGCAUUCUGUCUGCUUGGCCUUAUUUUUCCUGUGCUCCACGUAUGUUAUAAAGUAGUAGGUGUCCCCAAAUGUUUCACUAAUGCGUUGGUGGCACUUUUGCAUUAUGGUGGAUUCAGACUGAAGAGCAGCAAUAACAGAGUGUGCAGUCAGGUCCAACUCAUUUCAGUUAAAUAGUUGCUGGUUUCUACCAGCCAGGGUUUAUUCCCUCAGCCUUCAUUUGCAGUCAUUUACUCAGUUCUUUCAGGCUGAGUCUGAAAAAUAUCCACGCGGAUCAGUGUUCUACCUUGUCUUACAAAUGCAAAACAAAAAAACAAAAAUUAGCAGUGGAUUUUAAAAGCUAUUGGAGGGAAUCUGGCAACAGAGUCACCGAAUAUAAGACAUUCAUUUAGGCCUGCUAAAGUGGAGCGUUAUAAGAGGAUAACAUUGACUAUUAAUACAGUAGUGCAUGUAAGUCCGAAAUAUAUUAUGCAGGUAACUGCAGACUGUGAUAAUAAUACUCAUUUGUUAACCAAAGACCACCCAGGAGCAAUAUCUGGUAAACUGACUUGUUCAAGGUCAUACAGUAGGCACAUGAGGGCUGAGGGAAUUAAACUCUGUACCACAGUUCACAGCCUUGGCCCUCUGUGCCAACUGCCAGACUAAGGAAGAUAUUACUGAAAGUGUGGCACAAUACAGAUUAUUUAGUUAGCCAUGGGCAAUAUUGCUGUUGUUAGAAAUGUAAGGCAUGUGAACAAUCUGACAAAUGAUGAUGAAGUAGUCACUCCUAAUUCUGAAAUGUGUUAUUUGUAUUUGUUUUCUGGAGAAGAGCUCUGAUCUAUGUGGACCAUUUUCAGACCCAGCCUGGGUGUGGUAUCUGGGUAAGUGACCUGCUCUGAGUCAUACGGUUAGGCAAUGGAGACAGAGCGGAUCAAACCUUGCACCACUGGACAACAAAUAAAAGAGAAUGAAAAAUAAAACCAUUUGUAAAAAGCAUUAUGGUAUACAAGCCCAGAGAACAUUUCUGGUCUGAGCCAAGACUAUGAAUUACUCUUUGUUUUGGAGAUCUACAGGUAUGAAGUACAUUUCUGAUAAGUGUCCACAUAUCAGUCUGACCUAUCAAACACGAUUAUGUCAUUUAAGUGUAACAAAUCAUUGUUAAAAUUAUUAAACAUGAUCUAAAAAAAUAAUGUAAUAAUGUAAAAUUCAU
Long non-coding RNA from Protopterus annectens (West African lungfish), 2330 nucleotides. RefSeq lists it as uncharacterized. The record is from RefSeq and is a predicted model, not a curated record. NCBI's taxonomy places the organism in Eukaryota, Metazoa, Chordata, Ceratodontiformes, Protopteridae. The transcript has 5 exons.